This is a long non-coding RNA of Dermacentor andersoni, 1628 nucleotides long. RefSeq lists it as uncharacterized. The record is from RefSeq and is a predicted model, not a curated record. NCBI's taxonomy places the organism in Eukaryota, Metazoa, Arthropoda, Arachnida, Ixodida, Ixodidae.
UCGAAUCGCUAAGUUCAGAACCGAACUAUAAAAGCAGUUUCCUUCGUUUUAACUGCUUAUAUUUAAGUUCAGGUUCACUGGCAGCGGGUACACAAACUCGACGGUGCCAGGCCUAACCUUCACUGAACAGGAUCAACAAUGGCUUAAACUUUGUGUGCACAUCUUGAGAGGGCUGAAGCUCGUGCAUUUCAACUAUGAAGGUAUGUUUCAACUCAUUUUAAGCGUGGUAUUAAUAACAUGUACCAAUAAAUGCACUGCAGCUAUUGUGUUGUUGGUUCGACGGCCGAUUGCAUGGCCUUCGGACGAACGAUGGUCGGCAUGCCGAUUUUGUUGGUGCCGUUGACAAGAAAGCCCAUCGCCCUAUCUAAUUAGGGCUCGUCCGUUGUGUUGUUGUCAACCUGGUAUGACGAGGUGGUCUCGGUGACAUAUUGUGCUCAAAAGUCGGCCAAUUGUUGCCGCCAGCGUCUUACCAGUCUCGUAUCGAUCUACCCAAUGUUACCUCGCCCUAACCGAGCACGUUUAUAAUGCGUUUAGCACGGCAUGCGCUGCCACCGCCAGCAAGUGAGGGCAGACGCUACAAGAAGACUUCGUCAGCAAUGUGACAGUCUUGAAGUACCGGCCAAGUGCAACACAGGGUUUUUUUAAAAUAAAUUUACCAGUCAACAAUGAAGGCCAGCAACUACAUGGUUCGUGGUGCAGUCUGGAUGAACCCCUGGCCUCCUUAUGUUUUAACGUGGAGUUGCAGUAUGCUACACACGCUUUCAGAACUACGCCGACAUAAAGCUACCAGUGGAGUUUCAACGCAGUACGCGGCAAAAGUGUUUGCAGCAGUGCGAGUCUGUGUACCUAAUUUUUUUCUGGAGAAAGAUCGAGCCAUGCGGCUGUGUGUGCAAUACUUCCAAAACGUUUUGCAACUAAUCCACCAGGACAGAGUGCAUGUGACGUCAUGCCGUGAAAAAGGCACAUUGUACACCUGACAGUAGCACGAAUCUAGAAUGGAAGCCCAUAUGCGAUUCUCUGAAAGCAAGCUACACUGUUGAGUUCGUCCUUGUCCGAGGGCACUGAACAUGGGACUAAUGCUUUUCUGAGGCAGUUGCUGUAACGUCUAAGCUAACAAGGAUGUCAGCAAAUAGCGAAGCAAGGCCAAAUUAAUUGACAAUCCAAAGCACAGGGACACAGAAUAUAGGUGAUCACUUCGGCAGAAAUCUGCAAGCCAAAGAAGUCCCAUGAAAAAAAAAAAAAAAAAAAAGGAACUGUCAUCCACUUGACAGUAGCAUGAAGCUACAAACUUCAUAGCUAGAGCUUGAAACUACAAAGUGUCAAGCUUUCAUAUUUUUCAUGCUUUCGCAGUUCUUUGUGGUUUCACGCUGUAGCUUUGAAGUUUGUAGGUUCGUGCUACUGACAGGUGGAUGACAGUUUUUACCAGUUAUACAACUUACACCUUGUGAACUCCUGGAUAACUUCUGGCUUUCUUCCAAGCAAGCCAGAAAGGAUAACUUCCUUUCUGGCUUGCCGCACCUGACAUCAUGGCAAGAGUAAUCUAUAUCGCUUUCCCAAAGAGCAAUAAAUCAACCUACGUUAAACUGACAUUUGUCUUCAGUGUCUAUAGAAAUAACAGAAAAAAAGAA